RNAcentral lists this unclassified non-coding RNA (615 nucleotides) under Bradyrhizobium sp. TUTSAGI-12. Its description in RNAcentral is "partial contains 16S-23S ribosomal RNA intergenic spacer and 23S ribosomal RNA". The stretch from base 511 to 615 matches the Rfam family "Bacterial large subunit ribosomal RNA", at positions 1 to 104 of the family's 2925-position model. Lineage: Bacteria; Pseudomonadati; Pseudomonadota; Alphaproteobacteria; Hyphomicrobiales; Nitrobacteraceae. The record is from RNAcentral.
AGCAUUCGUCUUCUGGUUACGGGGCCAUAGCUCAGCUGGGAGAGCGCGUGCUUUGCAAGCAUGAGGUCGUCGGUUCGAUCCCGUCUGGCUCCACCAGAUGGUUUGAUCAUCGACUGAUCGUGCACCUACAAUCGUCCGCGAAACAUCACUUCGCAUCUUGCUAGUCUGGAUAGACAGCAAGUUGCGUGAUUUCUGACAUCGUAAAGAGGAGAUCGAUCCGAGUUGGAUCGUGCAGCAAGCAAUUGCUACGCGAGACUUCAUUAUCUCCGGAUCAUUUCGGCGCUCGUGCGUCUUUCAAGAGUAGCUCACAAGGCUGCGCUGGAAAGACAAGCGAGUUGUAAAUGAUCCUUUUAGCGAAGCUUGACCGCCUCGCUAUCGGAACGAUCUUACGAAGCAAGCUGGUCUUUCUAAUCAUUGUCCGGCUGCAGAUAGCGUUCAUCGAGGGCGCGUGCCGCAAGGUAAUUCUGCAGACAACAUUCUGCCGAGUGUGUGGACAUUGAUAAUGAGAGCAAUCAAGUGCCUUAAGGGUGUUCGGUGGAUGCCUUGGCGCUGAGAGGCGAUGACGGACGUGCUACGCUGCGAUAAGCCGUGGGGAGCUGCGAAGAAGCUUUGAUC